Molecule: ribosomal RNA, 207 nt
Filed under: uncultured delta proteobacterium
Lineage: Bacteria; Deltaproteobacteria
Description: partial 16S ribosomal RNA
Rfam family: Bacterial small subunit ribosomal RNA
Source: RNAcentral
CGUGUAGGCGGCUUUGCAAGUCGGGUGUGAAAGCCCUCAGCUCAACUGAGGAAGUGCGCCCGAAACUGCAGAGCUUGAGUACCGGAGAGGGUGGCGGAAUUCCCCAAGUAGAGGUGAAAUUCGUAGAUAUGGGGAGGAACACCGGUGGCGAAGGCGGCCACCUGGACGGUCACUGACGCUGAGACGCGAAAGCGUGGGUAGCAAACA